GAUGAACGCUGGCGGCGUGCCUAAUACAUGCAAGUCGAGCGAACGGACGAGAAGCUUGCUUCUCUGAUGUUAGCGGCGGACGGGUGAGUAACACGUGGAUAACCUACCUAUAAGACUGGGAUAACUUCGGGAAACCGUAGCUAAUACCGGAUAAUAUUUUGAACCGCAUGGUUCAAAAGUGAAAGACGGUCUUGCUGUCACUUAUAGAUGGAUCCGCGCUGCAUUAGAUAGUUGGUAAGGUAACGGCUUACCAAGGCAACGAUGCAUAGCCGACCUGAGAGGGUGAUCGGCCACACUGGAACUGAGACACGGUCCAGACUCCUACGGGAGGCAGCAGUAGGGAAUCUUCCGCAAUGGGCGAAAGCCUGACGGAGCAACGCCGCGUGAGUGAUGAAGGUCUUCGGAUCGUAAAACUCUGUUAUUAGGGAAGAACAUAUGUGUAAGUAACUGUGCACAUCUUGACGGUGCCUAAUCAGAAAGCCACGGCUAACUACGUG
RNAcentral lists this ribosomal RNA (497 nucleotides) under uncultured bacterium. RNAcentral describes it as "partial 16S ribosomal RNA". It matches the Rfam family "Bacterial small subunit ribosomal RNA", at positions 28 to 507 of the family's 1533-position model. The record is from RNAcentral.